GAUGAACGCUGGCGGCGUGCUUAACACAUGCAAGUCGAACGGAAAGGCCCAAGCUUGCUUGGGUACUCGAGUGGCGCACGGGUGAGUAACACGUGGGUGAUCUGCCCUGCACUUCGGGAUAAGCCUGGGAAACUGGGUCUAAUACUGGAUAGGACCACUUCUUGGAUGGUGUGGUGGAAAGUUUUUUCGGUGUGGGAUGAGCUCGCGGCCUAUCAGCUUGUUGGUGGGGUAAUGGCCUACCAAGGCGUCGACGGGUAGCCGGCCUGAGAGGGUGUACGGCCACAUUGGGACUGAGAUACGGCCCAGACUCCUACGGGAGGCAGCAGUGGGGAAUAUUGCACAAUGGGCGCAAGCCUGAUGCAGCGACGCCGCGUGGGGGAUGACGGCAUUCGGGUUGUAAACUCCUUUCGCUAGGGACGAAGCGUUUUUGUGACGGUACCUGGAGAAGAAGCACCGGCUAACUACGUG
Molecule: ribosomal RNA, 468 nt
Filed under: uncultured bacterium
Lineage: Bacteria
Description: partial 16S ribosomal RNA
Rfam family: Bacterial small subunit ribosomal RNA
Source: RNAcentral